UUCUUUCGUGGGCAGGUUAUCUGGAAGUCAUGGAUGGUUUCUCUCCGCCCAGACCAAGAAAAAAUGCUCCCAAGAGAGUCAACUCCACAGCUGCUCCCAAGAUGUCAGUGAGCUGAGGGCCUGACCAGCAUACCUGUCCUGCAUCUUUCCAGGAGAGGCAUAACCUUGCCAGCAGAAUAAUACAGUGUCAAGCUUGUGGAAUGCCUAUAGGAAGAAAAGUCAUGGGAAAAACCUGGCAGAUACAGAAAGUGUUUGGGAAAGAAGUAUUGGAUUAUUCCUUGAAUCUGUGUCAGGGAAAAUUUGAUUUGUUAGUUCGCAUGCCUGAUAACAUAAUCCUACAGAUCUUCUCCUUUCUUGAUUUGGAUGACAUUGGGCAGCUGUCAAAAACCUGCAAAAAAUUCCAAAAGCUGUGUAGCAAUGAAGAAUUCUGGGAGAAAUUUAGAACUUCACAAGAUAAACAUGCUUUUGAUACAAAGAAAAUAGGAAUAACCAUUUACAAGAAGAAACUGCUAGCUUUCCACCAAAAUGCAGCCAGCAGAAGCUCACAUGGAGAGAAGACAGAGAGCAUUUUUCUAAACUGAAGUGACAAAAUUUUAACAAGAUUAAAAUAGAAUUUUCAUAUAAAAUUACUAUCAUUAGAUCUUAUCACAGAGACUAGGUUGAAGCUAUUAUCUGGUAGAUUUAAGUAGGAAAAUAAAAAACUCUUGACUCAAUUUUCUCUUUCUUUACUGCUAUCAACCUAUUAACAGAUCAAGUGAAUCAAAUACCUACUUAACCUCACACACGUCUUAAUUUUAAAGAUGGGAAGAGCAGCAUAGGAAGCAAAGCUGUUCACAGCACAGAUGACUCUUAUCUCUUCACUGGUGAAGGUGGACGCCAAUGGGGGUUCAUGAUAGAGAAGAAAAUAAAUACUACCUCAUAAUGAGAAGGGGGA
Non-coding RNA from Sus scrofa (pig), 934 nucleotides. The record is from RefSeq and is a predicted model, not a curated record. NCBI's taxonomy places the organism in Eukaryota, Metazoa, Chordata, Mammalia, Artiodactyla, Suidae.